UGGGGAAUAUUGCACAAUGGAGGGAACUCUGAUGCAGCGACGCCGCGUGAACGAAGAAGGCUUUCGAGUCGUAAAGUUCUUUUAUAUGGGAAGAUAAUGACGGUACCAUAAGAAAAAGCCCCGGCUAACUACGUGCCAGCAGCCGCGGUAAUACGUAGGGGGCUAGCGUUGUCCGGAAUCACUGGGCGUAAAGGGCUUGUAGGUGGUUUGUCGCGUCUGUCGUGAAAUCCUGUGGCUUAACCAUGGGCUUGCGGUGGGUACGGGCAGGCUUGAGUGCGGUAGGGGAGACUGGAAUUCCUGGUGUAGCGGUGGAAUGCGCAGAUAUCAGGAGGAACACCGGUGGCGAAGGCGGGUCUCUGGGCCGUUACUGACACUGAGGAGCGAAAGCGUGGGGAGCGAACAGG
This 404-nucleotide ribosomal RNA is filed under the name Fusobacteriota bacterium. RNAcentral describes it as "Fusobacteria bacterium partial 16S ribosomal RNA". It matches the Rfam family "Bacterial small subunit ribosomal RNA", at positions 355 to 776 of the family's 1533-position model. Lineage: Bacteria; Fusobacteriati; Fusobacteriota. The record is from RNAcentral.